ACUCCUACGGGAGGCAGCAGUAGGGAAUCUUCCACAAUGGGCGCAAGCCUGAUGGAGCAACACCGCGUGAGUGAAGAAGGGUUUCGGCUCGUAAAGCUCUGUUGUUAAAGAAGAACACGUAUGAGAGUAACUGUUCAUACGUUGACGGUAUUUAACCAGAAAGUCACGGCUAACUACGUGCCGGCAGCCGCGGUAAUACGUAGGUGGCAAGCGUUAUCCGGAUUUAUUGGGGCGUAAAGAGAGUGCAGGCGGUUUUCUAAGUCUGAUGUGAAAGCCUUCGGCUUAACCGGAGAAGUGCAUCGGAAACUGGAUAACUUGAGUGCAGAAGAGGGUAGUGGAACUCCAUGUGUAGCGGUGGAAUGCGUAGAUAUAUGGAAGAACACCAGUGGCGAAGGCGGCUACCUGGUCUGCAACUGACGCUGAGACUCGAAAGCAUGGGUAGCGAACAGGAUUAGAUACCCUGGUAGGAUAGCG
Molecule: ribosomal RNA, 474 nt
Filed under: uncultured bacterium
Lineage: Bacteria
Description: bacterial SSU rRNA
Rfam family: Bacterial small subunit ribosomal RNA
Source: RNAcentral